Molecule: ribosomal RNA, 253 nt
Filed under: uncultured bacterium
Lineage: Bacteria
Description: partial 16S ribosomal RNA
Rfam family: Bacterial small subunit ribosomal RNA
Source: RNAcentral
UACAGAGGGUGCGAGCGUUAAUCGGAAUCACUGGGCGUAAAGGGCGCGUAGGUGGCGGCCCAAGUCCAUGGUGAAAGCUCGCCGCUCAACGGCGAGUCGGCCACGGAUACUGGGUUGCUCGAGCACUGUAGGGGCAGAUGGAAUUCCGGGUGUAGCGGUGGAAUGCGUAGAGAUCCGGAAGAACACCAGAGGCGAAGGCGGUCUGCUGGGCAGUAGCUGACACUGAUGCGCGACAGCGUGGGGAGCAAACAGG